AUGACUUACAUUGUGAAACGGAUGGAGUAUAUUUUUUCGUCAACUUUACUUCAACCAUCUUCCCACUUCUAAUCUCCCCUAAUAAGGGGUAUGAAAUGUUUUUUUUUUCCUUUACGUUUCUUUUUUAUUGUGGUAGACAAGAUAAAAAAAAACAACAAAGCCACUUGAGUUUGUGGCACCUUAACUUCGUGGCAUUACUACCAAUUUCCUCUGACCUCUGGUAUACUGAUGCCUCUCCCCUGCUUUUCAACCGUGCACUGUACUGUCACGCACGCACAUAGUCGACAACAAUUUUUUCGAUUCCACGGUGUUGAUUUGUGGAGCUAAGGUCUCGCAAAGUUCUACAAAUGGAUGCUUCGAUUUGUCCAACUGGUCUUCUCAUGGCCGCACUAUCACCAAACAACAAACUGAGAGUUAAACAGAAGUCUCUGGAGAGCUUGUGGGAGAAUAGGCUUCUAUAGUAAAAUCCCCCUCCCCGACCCCUCUUCCCCCCGAUUCCGGUGGUUCGCCGCCGGUGAGGGCCGAAGGAGGGGCCAGGCCACCUUCCCGUACUAGUAUAAAGUAGGUUAGGUCGGAGUUCUUCCGUAGUCAGGUCUUCCUGUAGCUCGGGUUUGUCCCUUUUGGAGUUUCGCCGGUGUUGCUUCAUGGCGAUCGGAGAAGACGAUGGUGGCGGUGGUGUUUGUGGCCGUGGCUGUCCCAGUGUCGUCGCUGAAGAUGGAUGGAUCUGGGGCGUUUGGCGUCCUUUCCAUGGCGACAAGGGCUUGCGGUGGUGGAUCCGGUGCAGCUGGCCUCUGUUCAUUGCUUGCCCAGAGUGAUGGAGAUGGAUGUGGUGUUUCUGGGCCGGCCGUCUCAGGCUCCCUGACAAGGACGGAUGGUGGUGGCUGCAAGAGCUGCUGCUGCUCAUGCUCGUUGGUGGGCUGAAUGAGCUGCUCCAGCUUGUUAGUUGGUUGAAUCUCCACAUGCUUCUGCUUGUUGAAGCUCUUGGUGGCAAGCUUGUUGGUUGGUUGCUCAGGCUCCUGCUUAUUGAAGCUCUCUGCGGCAACAUUUUCCCUUCCAUCUCCGGUGUUGCGUACCUCCGCCAAAUCGUUACAAGACAGGGGUUCAGUCGCCGCCAUCCUAAUUCUUGCAUGUUCAAGGCAAGUUGGAGUAUGGAGACUUUCUUCAAAUCUACUUGCAGUAGUAUUCAAGUUGAGGGCUCCAUUCGGGUUGAGUAUAGACCGUCUAGUCGGCUCUUGUCGAUAGGAUUGCAGUCUGUGCUCCUCAGAUUUGAUGGAGAACUCCUUGACAAUAUUUUGUUGAGUCCGGUGAAGCUUAAGAAAAAUUUACGACUCAACAACAAACCUCGAAUAGCGCCGUUUCCGUGGAGGCAGCCGAAGGGGUCACCGGUCUGUCAAGCGGUGUGCGCGUCUUCAGUAGAGGCUCGUGGACGUGGUCGUCGCGGCAUUACCGCAGUCCCCUGUCGAUCGCGUUCUUUACUGCUGUUUGGAUUAUCUUGGAGGAUGUUUUUCUUAGUUCAGCUAGCUUUACCUUCUGAAUGGAUGGUGUUGUUUUUUAUGUCUUAUCUUUUAUGGCGAUGUUCUGGGGAUGCCAUUUCCUUUGAGCUCUGUCUGUAAUCCUCACUAUAUGAAUAAAUUUAUGAGUUUUCAAAAAAAAAAA
Oryza sativa Japonica Group (Japanese rice) is the source of this 1656-nucleotide long non-coding RNA. RefSeq lists it as uncharacterized. The record is from RefSeq and is a predicted model, not a curated record. NCBI's taxonomy places the organism in Eukaryota, Viridiplantae, Streptophyta, Magnoliopsida, Poales, Poaceae.